CACGUAGGGGGCGAGCGUUGUCCGGAUUUACUGGGCGUAAAGAGCGCGCAGGCGGUCGUACAAGUCGCGUGAAAGCCCCCGGCUCAACUGGGGAGGGUCACGCGAUACUGUUCGACUCGAAGGCAGGAGAGGGAAGUGGAAUUCCCGGUGUAGUGGUGAAAUGCGUAGAUAUCGGGAGGAACACCAGUGGCGAAGGCGACUUCCUGGCCUGUUCUUGACGCUGAGGCGCGAAAGCUAGGGUAGCAAACGGG
Molecule: ribosomal RNA, 251 nt
Filed under: uncultured bacterium
Lineage: Bacteria
Description: partial 16S ribosomal RNA
Rfam family: Bacterial small subunit ribosomal RNA
Source: RNAcentral